CAAAACAAUGUUUAUGAAAUGACCAUCAUGUGAAAUGAUAAUGAAACAUGCUAUCAGCCCUGGUUAGAAAUCAAUGCAAAUGUGUCAUGUGGGGAAAUUCUCAGCUCCAAGCUCCUCAUCAACACCGUUUCCCUGUAUGGAAUGCUCUUGUCAUCACUCAGAGAGAAAUUGUACAACCAUCAUGGCUCCGGAGAUGAAUCUGGGCUGAUCUGUCAAACUGCGGUUUAGGAGACACUCACCAAUCGAACGCGGUGAGAACCUUGAUGACUCUACCUGUGGAUGAGGAUGCGGUCUACACUAUCUCUCUGUGGAGGAGAAGGGGAGGGCAGGGGCCUGAGAGCCCGGGUAGGCAGGAUGAAGAGACUGCUGUGCCUUCGACACGCCCACCGUGUGGAUGUCCUGACGGACAUGGAGCCGGGGCUCUGGCUGAGGCGCUUCCAGCUGCUGGACACAGACGUCAC
Molecule: long non-coding RNA, 461 nt
Organism: Oncorhynchus tshawytscha (Chinook salmon)
Lineage: Eukaryota; Metazoa; Chordata; Actinopteri; Salmoniformes; Salmonidae
Source: Ensembl